GAGAAUUUCUUGGGCGUGUUUCAUCACCGCGCUCAAGCCACUUCCAAGUAGGAUUGGGAGCGGUCUUGGGAGAAACCAGCGUUGCCAAUCUUCCGCGUCGCUUUGACGUCUAAUAUGUCUUCAGUUAACUUAAAUUACACUUGUUAUGUAUAAUUAUGGAAUUAUAAAUAUAAACAAUUGAUAUUUAGUUGAAAUACAGCGAUAAUAUCUUCAUUGUAAGGAAUAUGUGCACGUAUUUUUGUUCCGUCUGCAUCUUCAACGGCACCACGGUGUAAACAAACAUUUAGCAGGGCGGCGCCUCGCCAGACCACACCUACAUACGGGCCUCAACACUUUCAUCAUCACCCUGGAGAGGCUCAGACGUCUCAUCUGUGCCUUCGCAGUCACCUACUAACCACGCCAGUGAAACAGGGGCUUGCAACAUGAUGAAAUCUUCCCGCGUACAAUACAAAAGGAAGGGAAACUGGAGAAAGGAGGCUUCCCUUCUCCUCCUGGAGCUGGUAACAGCUAACCGGAGGAUUGUUGAAGGGAAAAAAUUUAAUCAACACGUCACAGCUCGACAACGGGCGGAGGUCUGGGAGAACAUCACCACCCAGAUCAAUGCGGCAUUUCCUGAAGUGAUGAGGGAUGUCACUGAAGUCGAAAAAAAAUGGUGGACCCUCAAAGCGCAAGGGAGGGAGGAGAUCCACCAAUACAGGAAGGCUGUACGUGGAACAGGUGGCGGACCUCCUCCUAAGGAGAUUUCAGAGGUGGCCCUGGCCGUGGAAAACAUUUUGGGGGUUGAGAACCAAAGCAUUUCAGGCGUUUCCGAUGACUUGGAUGCAAACAGGCCGACAUUUGACCCUACCAAAUUGGGAAGGCGGUUGCCAAGUGGUUCAACCAUCGCUGUGGGAUGGAAUAUUAUCAACAGAUCUUCCAUGAACACUAACUUCAGCGACUUUGUGCAAGAGUCUUCAAAACUACCCUUCGAGAAAGCCUACUAUGCUAUAGGCAGCAACUACAAAAAAAUAAAAUAAAAAUACAAGUUUAUUAAUGAAAUAUUUUGGUUCGCAGACUUAAGUUCGUUAAAGGAAGUUUAAUGUACAGAAGCUAAUUAGUCCACUCGUGAUUUUCAAUGCAAACUUAAAAAGCCAAUUUUAGAAACAAUUAUCUUACCGAUCACUUGUACUAACCUCUUUUGUAUGUGUUUCAGGGAACAUCAAGCUGCGAGCAGUGCCUCUGCAGGAGCUGUGUCUGGGCAGCACCAUCCAGGGCAGUUAUGUGACCAACAAGCCGUGGACAGUGCCUCUGCGGGAGCUGUGUCUGGGCAGCACCAUCCAGGGCAGUUAUGCAACCAACGAGAAGAAAGCUGUCCUGCCCCCGAUGCAGAGUGCAGCAUCGUGAUGGUCACAUCAACUUUCAAUGAUCAGCGUUAUAACAAUGAAAAGAAACAACUAAAACUUGCACUUUUAAGAGCAAAUGUUUCACAUGUGAUGGCCCAAAAGAGGGCCUGUGACGCAGAGGCACUGUAUAAAACCGCCUUGACCAAGAAACUGAAGGGAAAAUAAACAAAAUAGUUCUGAAA
RNA transcript from Eriocheir sinensis (Chinese mitten crab), 1564 nucleotides. RefSeq lists it as uncharacterized. NCBI's taxonomy places the organism in Eukaryota, Metazoa, Arthropoda, Malacostraca, Decapoda, Varunidae. The record is from RefSeq and is a predicted model, not a curated record. The transcript has 6 exons.